UCCGAACUGAGACCGGCUUUUUGGGAUUCGCUCCACCUUACGGUAUCGCAGCCCUCUGUACCGGCCAUUGUAGCAUGCGUGAAGCCCAAGACAUAAGGGGCAUGAUGAUUUGACGUCAUCCCCACCUUCCUCCGAGUUGACCCCGGCAGUCUCCCAUGAGUCCCCGGCAUAACCCGCUGGCAACAUAGGACGAGGGUUGCGCUCGUUGCGGGACUUAACCCAACAUCUCACGACACGAGCUGACGACAACCAUGCACCACCUGUGUACGAGUGUCCAAAGAGAACCCCGUCUCGGGGGCUUUCUCGUACAUGUCAAGCCUUGGUAAGGUUCUUCGCGUUGCAUCGAAUUAAUCCGCAUGCUCCGCCGCUUGUGCGGGCCCCCGUCAAUUCCUUUGAGUUUUAGCCUUGCGGCCGUACUCCCCAGGCGGGGCACUUAAUGCGUUAGCUGCGGCACGGAACUCGUGGAAUGAGCCCCACACCUAGUGCCCAACGUUUACGGCAUGGACUACCAGGGUAUCUAAUCCUGUUCGCUCCCCAUGCUUUCGCUCCUCAGCGUCAGUUGCGGCCCAGAGACCUGCCUUCGCCAUCGGUGUUCCUCCUGAUAUCUGCGCAUUCCGCCGCUACACCAGGAAUUCCAGUCUCCCCUACCGCACUCUAGUCUGCCCGUACCCGAUGCAAGCCCGAGGUUGAGCCUCGGGAUUUCACACCAGACGCGACAGACCGCCUACGAGCUCUUUACGCCCAAUAAUUCCGGACAACGCUUGCGCCCUACGUAUUACCGCGGCUGCUGGCACGUAGUUAGCCGGCGCUUCUUCUGCAGGUACCGUCACUUGCGCUUCUUCCCUGCUGAAAGAGGUUUACAACCCGAAGGCCGUCAUCCCUCACGCGGCGUCGCUGCAUCAGGCUUGCGCCCAUUGUGCAAUAUUCCCCACUGCUGCCUCCCGUAGGAGUCUGGGCCGUGUCUCAGUCCCAGUGUGGCCGGUCGCCCUCUCAGGCCGGCUACCCGUCGACGCCUUGGUAGGCCAUCACCCCACCAACAAGCUGAUAGGCCGCGAGCCCAUCCCCCACCGAAAAACUUUCCAACCCACACCAUGCGAUGCGAGCUCAUAUCCGGUAUUAGACCCCGUUUCCAAGGCUUAUCCCGAAGUGGAGGGCAGGUUGCUCACGUGUUACUCACCCGUUCGCCACUGAUCCACCCAGCAAGCUGGGCUUCAC
Molecule: ribosomal RNA, 1215 nt
Filed under: uncultured bacterium
Lineage: Bacteria
Description: partial 16S ribosomal RNA
Source: RNAcentral